RNAcentral lists this ribosomal RNA (328 nucleotides) under uncultured eukaryote. RNAcentral describes it as "partial 18S ribosomal RNA". It matches the Rfam family "Eukaryotic small subunit ribosomal RNA", at positions 1470 to 1796 of the family's 1831-position model. The record is from RNAcentral.
CCCUUAGAUGUCCUGGGCCGCACGCGCGCUACACUGAUGCAUGCAACGAGUUUAUAACCUUGGCCUGAAAGGUCUGGGUAAUCUUUUGAACGUGCAUCGUGAUAGGGAUAGAUUAUUGCAAUUGUUAAUCUUGAACGAGGAAUUCCUAGUAAACGCGAGUCAUCAGCUCGCAUCGAUUACGUCCCUGCCCUUUGUACACACCGCCCGUCGCACCUACCGAUUGAAUGGUUCGGUGAAGAUCUCGGACUUCGAUAUUUAUUCUUUAUUGAGUUUAUAUUGUGGGAAGUUAUCUAAACCUCAUCAUUUAGAGGAAGGUGAAGUCGUAACA